RNAcentral lists this ribosomal RNA (402 nucleotides) under uncultured bacterium. RNAcentral describes it as "bacterial SSU rRNA". It matches the Rfam family "Bacterial small subunit ribosomal RNA", at positions 355 to 774 of the family's 1533-position model. The record is from RNAcentral.
UCGGGAAUUUUGGGCAAUGGGCGAAAGCCUGACCCAGCAACGCCGCGUGAGGGAUGAAGUAUUUCGGUAUGUAAACCUCGAAAGAAUGGGAAGAAUAAAUGACGGUACCAUUUAUAAGCUCCGGCUAACUACGUGCCAGCAGCCGCGGUAAUACGUAGGGAGCAAGCGUUGUUCGGAUUUACUGGGCGUCAAGGGCGCGUAGGCGGCGCGGUAAGUCACUUGUGAAAUCUCUGAGCUUAACUCAGAACGGCCAAGUGAUACUGCUGUGCUAGAGUGCGGAAGAGGCGACCGGAAUUCUUGGUGUAGCGGUGAAAUGCGUAGAUAUCAAGAGGAACACCUGAGGCGAAGGCGGGUUGCUGGGCCGACACUGACGCUGAUGCGCGAAAGCCAGGGGAGCAAACG